This 268-nucleotide non-coding RNA is filed under the name Helobdella robusta. Its description in RNAcentral is "eukaryotic small subunit ribosomal RNA". It matches the Rfam family "Eukaryotic small subunit ribosomal RNA", at positions 57 to 324 of the family's 1831-position model. The record is from Rfam by way of RNAcentral. Lineage: Eukaryota; Metazoa; Annelida; Clitellata; Rhynchobdellida; Glossiphoniidae.
AUCUAAGCCCGAACUUAACACGGUGAAGCUGCGAAUGGCUCAUUAGGCCACCAAUGAUUUCUUAGAUCGUACAUUUCUACUUGGUUAACUGUGGCAAUUCUAGAGCUAAUACAUGCAAAAAAGCUUGGACCCUUUCUGGAACAAGCGCGUUUAUUAGAUCAAAACCAAUCGGUUCGCAAGGACCGCCUUAUUGGUGACUCUGAAUAACUGAGUAAAUCGCACGGCCUCGAGCUGAAAUAAGAUUCCAGAAAUUUAAAAUAAAAUAAAG